UCAGCAUAUUAAAAUCAUUUAUUGUGCUCCAGAAGAGUAAUUACUAUUUAACCAGAAAGAAAGACAAGUGACAAAUAAUCUACAAUACAAAUGCCAGACCUGCUCACAUAGUUCCCCCUGUUUCACAUGGCAUUCAAAGAACAAGUCCACCUUUAGUUUGCAGACUGCCAGCAAAAACCUCUCAGGAUGAAUCUGAGGUUUGAUUGUUGUUGUUUCUGCUGCGAUUUGAGGUCAGAAAAUGGCACGUUGCGUUACAUUCAUUCGCAGUGCUCGUUCAUCUCUCUGUCUCUCCCCCCUCCCCGCCCCCCAAACACUACAACACAGGCUGACUGUUGACCACGGUCAGGGUAGAUUUACACAGGAACAAAAGUGAAGCAUCCCCCUAGAACAGGGUUUUUUUUAAGCGUAUUCAGUCCCGAACUGUGUGGAUUUAUACUCACCCUGCUAGACUGGCUCAUUAAAACAUACUGGUGUUGGGAUUUAAAAGAAAAUGACUGAAGAAAUGCUACCUGGAUUGGUUCGGAGCUUCCCCUUUAUGAAGGAUGGACACACGUUUUUAAAGGAGGGUGACACCGGAUGGGAGUCAUUAAACCCUGGGGCAUUCUCAGACUGUUAUCUUACAUCUGCUGUUUGGAUGUGAACGCUGUUCUAAAUGUGUGCUAUUACAAGCGAAAAGCAAAUAAAUCCAAAUUCAAGUCUUAUUCAGGACAAGCCAGACACCAUAUGACACGAAAUAAAGAGAAUAUUUGAAAAUCCUAACACAGAAACGGAAAUUAGGCACAUUGCAGAAAGAAACCCUAAUGGAUAUGAUGUUUACAAGCCUCAGUCACUGGCAAAAACAAUAUCAGCAUAUGAAUUCCCUUGUAAAUGCACUCAGUAAGGAGUGACAGAUUUUUGCAGGCCAUGUGUUUUUUUAAAGUUUACAACUACUCCAUGAAUCCUGUGGUUUUUUUUUGUUGUUUUUUUUUGUUGUUUUUUUUUUUUGAAAGUGUUUCACCAAACGCACAUGGAAACACACUGCUGCUCAUGCAUGCUGCACCCACUCAGUGUCCUCAAUGUGACCGCAAAGGCUUGAGGAAAUAACAGAAUUUUCACGGUCUAACAAAGAUGAAUUCAAUCAUGAACCAGAAACUGAAUUAGAAAAAGGUGACAAAAUAGAAAGUGUGUCCAAGUUUUUAUGGUACACCAAACUUAAACAAAAGGCAUACUUUUCCCCUCAGAAAAAGAAAAACCCAAAACAAAAUGAAACAAAAAACUCCUUGUGUUCCCUGUAAAUCUGCCACAGAAUAUAAAGUGUAAAAGCAGCAAUUCAAUUUUAGCUUCUUUUCAUAUUUUAUUUGCCCGUUUAACUAUCCAGUCAGGUUUUAAGGUUAUUAGUUCCUAGUUUAAAGGCCUAAUGAUUCCUCUGUCAAAGGAUAGGUGUGACUUGCCCUGCAUUUAAAAAGAGCUGUUAAAAGAAUCCAUCGUGCUGGUUACAGUGGAGAGUUUUAGUAUGUUGUGAUGGUGUAAAUGCAGAUCCCAGUUACCCGAGAAUAAGUCCUGCAAAACACUAAAUACCUGGUAAACAAUAACUUUUGGCAGCUUAAAAACAAUUAGCUCUAUUUUUCAUUUCACUCUGUGAUGGAAAUAGUAAAUGCAUAGGCUCCAGAUAACAUCUGUCACAGAUUUAAGAUCUUGUUUCACUUGGCCAACAAAAACAGCUGAUACAUAUUUAGUGUGAU
Amphiprion ocellaris (clown anemonefish) is the source of this 1721-nucleotide long non-coding RNA. The record is from Ensembl. Lineage: Eukaryota; Metazoa; Chordata; Actinopteri; Pomacentridae.